RNAcentral lists this ribosomal RNA (492 nucleotides) under uncultured bacterium. RNAcentral's name for it is "partial 16S ribosomal RNA". It matches the Rfam family "Bacterial small subunit ribosomal RNA", at positions 28 to 507 of the family's 1533-position model. The record is from RNAcentral.
GAUGAACGCUAGCUACAGGCUUAACACAUGCAAGUCGAGGGGAAACGACAUCGAAAGCUUGCUUUUGAUGGGCGUCGACCGGCGCACGGGUGAGUAACGCGUAUCCAACCUGCCCAUCACUUGGGGAUAACCUUGCGAAAGUAAGACUAAUACCCAAUGAUAUCUCUAGAAGACAUCUGAAAGAGAUUAAAGAUUUAUCGGUGAUGGAUGGGGAUGCGUCUGAUUAGCUUGUUGGCGGGGUAACGGCCCACCAAGGCAACGAUCAGUAGGGGUUCUGAGAGGAAGGUCCCCCACAUUGGAACUGGGACACGGUCCAAACUCCUACGGGAGGCAGCAGUGAGGAAUAUUGGUCAAUGGGAGAGAGCCUGAACCAGCCAAGUAGCGUGCAGGAAGACGGCCCUAUGGGUUGUAAACUGCUUUUAUAAGGGAAUAAAGUGAGAGUCGUGACUCUUUUUGUAUGUACCUUAUGAAUAAGGACCGGCUAAUUCCGUG